Molecule: long non-coding RNA, 1234 nt
Organism: Bactrocera oleae (olive fruit fly)
Lineage: Eukaryota; Metazoa; Arthropoda; Insecta; Diptera; Tephritidae
Source: RefSeq, a predicted model, not a curated record
AGAUACGAAAGUAAGUUAGUUGCUUUCUUACUCGAUGUUUUUCACUCGUUCUUCUCGACCGAGGCAUGGUCUACGAAUUGGAUAUUAGGAUCGGUCUUUUCCGCAUUGAAUUUCAUCGAGUGCACAUGGUUAAGUUCUUGUUGCCUAGAAUCGCUUUAAAUUGACAAUGAAAAUGAAGAUAAAGCCAACAAUUGAAGAACGCAUUAUGAAAGUUUCCUGACAAAAAAUUUUUAAAAAAAAAAUUUGGAAUGAAUGAAUGCGGAUUUCGACGAAUCCUCGAUGCAAUGCUCACAUAAAAUGGUGCUCAUGAAAAUGGCAAUUGAUUUAACAUAGUCUUGCAACACCGAGAAAAUGCAGUAAAAAAAGUGCAUUUACACGUGAGCAUCGAAAAUUCAAAAUGGCGUCCUCUGGUUUUGAAAGGUGUCUUCAUAGUUAGAAUGCCGCUGUCUGAAAUGAUGAACUUAAGAGAUUGAAUUUCAAAAGUUUUAUUUAAAUAAAAUAAAUUUAAAAUCCAAAUUUUGUUGUGUUUUCAAUAUUAAGAAUAAGAUUGGAAAAUCUAUAUAAAGUAGUCCUUAUGCAAUAGUAGGGCAUCAUAAUUGUUUUGGGAAAUAUCAACACGAAGUGUGAAAAAAGAGGUGUGUUCGAUAGAAAUCUAUUGCCGAGCUGGCGGCUUCACAUCAUGAAUUGGGUUACGUAGACUGUUUCGACAGUCGGGCGCUUUCGGAUUUUUGUCCAGUCAAAGGCUAUCAGCUCUGGAUAUUGGAUCUGUUUUCUAUACAACACAGUAAUGUAGGCCCGACUUGGUGGAAAAAGAUAUAGUUCAUAUAUUUAAUCUCCUCACAUACGCACUUGCAUUAUACAAACGGUCAUCAGUUACAUUUCUAAUGUUUUUACCGCUAAAACAACCUAGUUCCUUUAAAAUACCCCGUUGCCUAAGAGAUUGCAUAAUUGAAUAUAUUAAAAAACUUUCAAAAUAUAUGCGACUGAAAAUCACUAUCGUAGAGGUCCUAUUAGUCUAACCUACAGAAAAACGAUUUUUACCUAAGCAGCCUCUUCUAAAACUAGUCUACGUUGCUUACACCUACCAUUUGUAGUUAUCGAUUAGUUUUUAUAUUUACUAAAAAUUAAAAGUAGCAACUUUCCAGUAAUCGUAUUCCCUAAUAUUUGGUAAAAUAUAUUACCAAAUAUUGAUUAAAUAAAAAAAAGAUAUUUUGACUUUUUUUUUAUUGGUUCU